Molecule: ribosomal RNA, 460 nt
Filed under: uncultured bacterium
Lineage: Bacteria
Description: partial 16S ribosomal RNA
Rfam family: Bacterial small subunit ribosomal RNA
Source: RNAcentral
CCUACGGGUGGCAGCAGUGAGGAAUAUUGGUCAAUGGGCGUAAGCCUGAACCAGCCAAGCCGCGUGAGGGAUGAAGGUUCUAUGGAUCGUAAACCUCUUUUAUAAGGGAAUAAAGUGCGGGACGUGUCCCGUUUUGUAUGUACCUUAUGAAUAAGGAUCGGCUAACUCCGUGCCAGCAGCCGCGGUAAUACGGAGGAUCCGGGCGUUAUCCGGAUUUAUUGGGUUUAAAGGGUGCGUAGGCGGCCUUUUAAGUCAGCGGGGAAAGGCUGGGGCUCAACCAUGGAAUUGCCGUUGAAACUGGGAGGCUGGAGUAUGGUUGAGGUAGGCGGAAUGCGUGGUGUAGCGGUGAAAUGCUUAGAUAUCGCGCAGAACCCAGAUUGCGAAGGCAGCCUGCCAAGCCAUGACUGACGCUGAUGCACGAAAGCGUGGGGAUCAAACAGGAUUAGAUACCCGAGUAGUC